GAUGAACGCUAGCGGCAGGCCUAACACAUGCAAGUCGAGGGGUAGCAGGAUUAAGCUUGCUUAAUUGCUGACGACCGGCGCACGGGUGCGUAACGCGUAUGCAACCUACCUUAUACUGGGGUAUAGCCCGGAGAAAUUCGGAUUAAUCCCCCAUAGUACUAAUGAAUCGCAUGGUUUAUUAGUUAAAGCAUUGCGGUAUAAGAUGGGCAUGCGUCCUAUUAGCUAGAUGGUGAGGUAACGGCUCACCAUGGCUACGAUAGGUAGGGGGCCUGAGAGGGUGGUCCCCCACACUGGUACUGAGACACGGACCAGACUCCUACAGGAGGCAGCAGUGAGGAAGAUUGGUCAAUGGGCGCAAGCCUGAACCAGCCAUGCCGCGUGCAGGAAGAAUGCCCUAUGGGUUGUAAACUGCUUUUAUUUGGGAAUAAACCUCUUUACGUGUAGAGAGCUGAAGGUACCAAAUGAAUAAGCACCGGCUAACUCCGUGCCAGCCGCCGCAGUAA
This 503-nucleotide ribosomal RNA is filed under the name uncultured bacterium. RNAcentral's name for it is "partial 16S ribosomal RNA". It matches the Rfam family "Bacterial small subunit ribosomal RNA", at positions 28 to 523 of the family's 1533-position model. The record is from RNAcentral.